RNAcentral lists this ribosomal RNA (408 nucleotides) under uncultured bacterium. RNAcentral describes it as "partial 16S ribosomal RNA". It matches the Rfam family "Bacterial small subunit ribosomal RNA", at positions 28 to 526 of the family's 1533-position model. The record is from RNAcentral.
GACGAACGCUGGCGGCGUGCUUAACACAUGCAAGUCGAACGAAGUGGCGAACGGGUGAGUAACGCGUAAUCAACCUGCACUUCAGAGGGGGACAACAGUUGGAAACGACUGCUAAUACCGCAUACUGAAGGAGGGGAUUGCGUCUGAUUGCCAAGUUGGAGGGGUAACGGCCCACCAAGGCGAUGAUCAGUAGACCGACUGAGAGGAGUGACGGCAAAAGUGGGACCGAGACACGGACCAGACUCCUACGGGAGGCAGCAGUGGGGAAUCUUUCGCAAUGGACGAAAGUCUGGCGGAGCAACGCCGCGUGAGUGGUGACGGCCUUCGGGUUGUAAAGCUCUGUUAAUCGGGACGCGGUACCGGAAUAGAAAGCCACGGCUAACUACGUGCCAGCAGCCGCGGUAAUAC